RNAcentral lists this ribosomal RNA (528 nucleotides) under Korotnevella heteracantha. Its description in RNAcentral is "partial 18S ribosomal RNA". It matches the Rfam family "Eukaryotic small subunit ribosomal RNA", at positions 1214 to 1677 of the family's 1831-position model. Lineage: Eukaryota; Discosea; Flabellinia; Dactylopodida; Paramoebidae. The record is from RNAcentral.
CUUACCAGGUCCAGACACAGUUAGGAUUGACAGAUUGAAAGCUCUUUCUUGAUUCUGUGGGUGGUGGUGCAUGGCCGUUCUUAGUUGGUGGAGUGAUUUGUCUGGUUAAUUCCGAUAACGAACGAGACCUCAGCCUAUUAAUUAAAUAAAAAAAUAUAAGCAAUUAUAAGGGUUUAAUAUAAAAUUAAUAAAUUUCAUUUUUGGAAUUUAUUUUUUAUAUUAAAAACUUGUUUAUAUUUAUUUUUUAUUUUCUUAAAGGGACACUUGGUGUUUAACCAAGGGAAGUUUGAGGCAAUAACAGGUCUGUGAUGCCCUUUAGAUGUUCUGGGCCGCACGCGCGCUACACUGAUAAAAUCAAUAAGUUUUUUAAUUUAAUUCCUUGACUGAAAAGUUUGGGUAAACUUUGAAAAUUUUAUCGUGCUGGGGAUUGACAAUUGUAAUUAUUUGUCAUGAACGAGGAAUUCCUAGUAAACGUAAGUCAUCAGCUUACGUUGAUUACGUCCCUGCCCUUUGUACACACCGCCCGUC